UACGUAGGGUGCGAGCGUUGCCCGGAUUCAUUGGGCGUAAAGCGCGCGCAGGCGGAUGCACGCGUCCCGCGUGAAAUCGCCCGGCUCAACCGGGCGGGGUCGCGGGAUACGGUGCGUCUGGAGCACGGGAGGGGGCAGUGGAAUUCCCGGUGUAGUGGUGGAAUGCGUAGAGAUCGGGAGGAACACCAGUGGCGAAGGCGACUGCCUGGACCGUGGCUGACGCUGAGGCGCGAAAGCGUGGGGAGCGAUCCGG
Molecule: ribosomal RNA, 253 nt
Filed under: uncultured bacterium
Lineage: Bacteria
Description: partial 16S ribosomal RNA
Rfam family: Bacterial small subunit ribosomal RNA
Source: RNAcentral